UCGGGAUCUGUUUUGGUGGUGUUGUGUUUUCAGUAGGUGUUCUUCUGAUGAUCAAAGAUGGUUAAUCUGACACCUUCCCUCGUGACAGACCCCCUUUCCUGGCGCCUGACAGCUAUUGUAAUGGCUGUCAUUAUAAUCGCCACCUCCGUCGCCGGAGCAGUUGCUCUGUUCAAGCAGGAGCUGGUUGACGCCUCUGGUGUGGUUAGAGAUGUAACCACUGGUAUUAUACGGAAUAUGAUCAACAAACUUAAGAAGGUCGUGAUUGUUCUCCGGCGCCUGGUCUGAACCAGAUAAGAGGACCAUGAAGUUUAACGACACUUUGAAGAGGACCGAUGUACAACGACUGUAGCAGUUUCAGUGAUGGACACAUGUUUGCUCCAGAAACUGAACGGAGACCAUGCAUAUUGUUCAUGUACAAUUUCGCCAGACAUGUUUGCAUUAACAUGAUAAUGUGCGGGAUCUACUCUGUUCCUGCAGCUGGGAUGCCAUGGCGUCAAGAGAGCAGUUACAACUUUCUUUGUGGUAUUGUUGCCUGAAUCCUCACACCAGUUCGACAAAGGUGUCAUAGUUCUAAAAUCACUAUAAUUAACCCAUAUUUCAAUAUUUUCACUGUUAGGUAACAAACGCAUUCUACAGAAGGCCUGAGUCCCUAUAUAUAGGCGGGGCGGUCGGGUAGCCCAGUGGUUAAAGCGUUCGCUCGUCACGCCGAAGACCCGGGUUCGAUUCCCGACAUGGGUACAAUGUGUGAAGCCCAUUUCUGGUGUCCCCCGCCGUGAUAUUGCUGGAAUAUUGCUAAAAGCUGCGUAAAACCAUACUCACUCACUCACUAUAUAUAGGCAGAUACUUCACUCUGCCACGAAUAAAGACUUAAAGGGACUCAGCAGCCUUCUCUCUGUUUUAAAAAGUAAGAUAGCAUUAUUUUCUUGUUAAAUUCUCCUUGCCUUUAACUUAUAUGAUAUCCUGUGCAAGCAACUAUAUAUUGACCAUGGUUUGUAUUAUUUAAGAAUAAGUUAUAUGUCAUUCAUUAUACCGCAAAGCAACUUGGAUGUCAAUUGUAUGUGUGUGUUUAUAUAGAUAUUGUAGAUUAGUUCACUUGUACAUUAACUGUUGAUGUGCCAAGUGAUAGACAAAGCCGUACAUUACAUAGCAUGAGAAAGGGUACAUUGUGGUAAAUACCCGCGGGUAAUCUCACGUAAAUACCGUCUCAUGCGAAUUUGGUCAUGCUACGUCUAUCAAUUGGUUAUAAUAAACAUU
Haliotis rufescens (red abalone) is the source of this 1254-nucleotide long non-coding RNA. RefSeq lists it as uncharacterized. Lineage: Eukaryota; Metazoa; Mollusca; Gastropoda; Lepetellida; Haliotidae. The transcript has 3 exons. The record is from RefSeq and is a predicted model, not a curated record.